RNAcentral lists this ribosomal RNA (485 nucleotides) under uncultured bacterium. Its description in RNAcentral is "partial 16S ribosomal RNA". It matches the Rfam family "Bacterial small subunit ribosomal RNA", at positions 28 to 523 of the family's 1533-position model. The record is from RNAcentral.
GACGAACGCUGGCGGCGUGCUUAACACAUGCAAGUCGAACGGUGAAAGCGGAGCUUGCUCCGCUGGAUCAGUGGCGAACGGGUGAGUAACACGUGGGCAACCUGCCCCUCACUUCGGGAUAACUCCGGGAAACCGGGGCUAAUACCGGAUAUGACCUCCUUGGGCAUCCUUGGAGGUGGAAAGUUUUGCGGUGAGGGAUGGGCCCGCGGCCUAUCAGCUUGUUGGUGAGGUAGUGGCUCACCAAGGCGACGACGGGUAGCCGGCCUGAGAGGGCGCACGGCCACAAUGGGACUGAGACACGGCCCAGACGCCUACUGGAGGCAGGAGUGGGGAAUAUGGCGCAAUGGGCGACAGCCUGACGCAGCCACGCCGCGGGCGGGAUGACGGCCUUCGGGUUGUAACCCGCUUUCAGCAGGGAAGAAGCCGCAAGGUGACGGUACCUGCAGAAGAAGCACCGGCUAACUACGUGCCAGCAGCCGCCGUAA